GCCUCUGUAGCUCAGUGGCAGAACACUGGACUGUAAAACAGGGGUCGCGAGUUCAAUCGUCACAGGAGGCA
This is a non-coding RNA of Acanthoscelides obtectus, 71 nucleotides long. The record is from the annotation of a GenBank genome assembly. NCBI's taxonomy places the organism in Eukaryota, Metazoa, Arthropoda, Insecta, Coleoptera, Chrysomelidae.